RNAcentral lists this microRNA precursor (158 nucleotides) under Paramuricea clavata. The record is from RNAcentral. Lineage: Eukaryota; Metazoa; Cnidaria; Anthozoa; Malacalcyonacea; Plexauridae.
UGUGUGUGUGUUAUUUACCGGCUGCGAGGUCGGGAUGAGAAAAACUGUGCCCAAGGUCUUGAAAACGGCCCCAGCCCGAAGGGCGAGGGACGCUUUCAAGACCGAGGGCACUGUUUUUCUCAUCCGGACUGACGCUGCCGGUAAAUGACGUGUUUAUC